This 975-nucleotide long non-coding RNA is filed under the name Gossypium raimondii (Peruvian cotton). RNAcentral's name for it is "long non-coding RNA (GRAI_LNC000686)". The record is from RNAcentral. Lineage: Eukaryota; Viridiplantae; Streptophyta; Magnoliopsida; Malvales; Malvaceae.
GGGGCUGCCGAAUGUGUCAGGGAGCCAUAGCUGGGGUUUGUUCAAGCUUCCAAGCUCAUAGUAAGUGCAUUUUAGCCCCGUUUUUAAUGUUCUUCGCAUUUUUGAAAUCAUCGUAGCUCGGUUUAGCUUAUUCUACCAUUAAUUCACGGUAGGGUGCAUAUUUGGAAAAAUACCCAGAGGUGAAAUGUGUUUAUUUUGCUGUUUUAUGGUAGAAUAUGAAGCUAGAAUUUAUGAUAAACAACUUUUACUAAGUGAUUUUAAGUAAAACCGGGUAAAUUGACAUAAUCGGUAAAAAUAUUUAUUGUUCAUAAGUGUAUGUUAGAGUGAGAAUUUGAUGUUCCCAUAGAAGGGAAAAGUGUUCAGCAUGUUGUAAAACAUAAGAAUAAGGUGUGAAAUUAAAUUUUCGAGCCUAGGGAUGUAAAUGGAAAUAUACAAAAUUUAGGGGCAAAAUUGUAAUUUUGCCAAAGUUUGAGUCAAGGACUGUUUUGAUAAAUGUGAGUACUAAAUAAGUCAAUUGUGUUAUUAUAGAUCAAGAAAGAAGUGGAAUUGACCUUGAUCGGAGAAAAGAAAAGAUUAAAGACUAAAUUGCUAAAAUUUUAUAUUGUUGCAUCAAAGUAAGUUAUGUAUAAAUAAUAGUUAUAUUUUUAUAAAUUGUGAAUUAUGUUUGACAUGUGAAUUAAAUUUGAAUUGAGAUGAUGUAUUAUUUUAUAUAUAAAUUUGUUAUCUAAUCAUGCCUUUAUGCAAGUACGAGAUUAGAUUGAAGGAUCAAUCGUGAGAAAUGCAGGGUCAAGUACAUUCGUACUACAACUCGUAAUGAAUUGACAGAAAAGACCAUGGUUGGACCAUGGCAGUGAGUAUGCCAGUGUAAGACCAUGUCUGGGACAUGGCAUCGGCACGGACAGAGGAGAGUCAGUGUAAGACCAUGUUUGGGACAUGGCAUCGGCUCGAGAUGAGAGUCAGUGUAAGACCAUGUCU